This is an RNA transcript of Oncorhynchus kisutch (coho salmon), 3177 nucleotides long. It is a transcript of the gene named disintegrin and metalloproteinase domain-containing protein 23, with no coding region annotated. The record is from RefSeq and is a predicted model, not a curated record. The transcript is spliced from 27 exons. Lineage: Eukaryota; Metazoa; Chordata; Actinopteri; Salmoniformes; Salmonidae.
AUAGGAGUCUGCUCGUUGGUUUCAGGUGUCUGGCCAUCGCCUUCCAUUCGCCCCGCGCCCGAUGCUGCAAGAGUCAUCUCCCACACUGACUGGAUACAUGAAGACUUUCCCGUAAACGAUAUCUCCCCCGCUAUAACGGGCCGGAAGAUAAUUACUGCGUUGACGUGUUGAUAUACAUAUAUUUAAAAUAUCAAAUAUGAAUCAUGCAUUUGAUAUUUCUAGCAAAUUUGCUCGUGAGCAUCCUUGCAGCCGGACUCCAUUCAUCCAUAGCAUCAAUCGGAGGAGAGAAUGAGGUGGUGGAGAGAGACGCAGAACCAUUAUUGUCGGAGCGAGAGGCAACUGCAGCAGCGGCCACAGACAACACAAGUCACAGUGCGGCUGAGCAUGUGAUCACUUACCCCUCUCGGCUCAUCUAUUACCUGAAGGAGGACUCAGAGAGCACUUACCAUGACCUGGACACCCGGGCUAGAAACCAGGGCACAGAGGGUCAUGACCAGGCAGUCCAUCUUGCCCAAGCCAGUUUCCAGUUAGAUGCCUUUGGCUCCAAAUUUGUACUGGACCUAACGUUAAACAAUGACUUGUUGUCGUCGGAUUAUGUGGAGAUCCACUAUGAGGAGGGUAAACCUGUUCUAUCAAAGGGUGGUGAACACUGUUACUACCACGGCCAGGUGAGGGGGAAAGAUGAUUCCCACGUGGCCUUGUCUACCUGCAAUGGGCUGCACGGAAUGUUUGACGAUGGACUCUAUCUCUAUAUAAUGGAGCCUUUGCAACAGACUCACUCAAUUGAUACAGCCGCACGGCCCCACUCACUGCGCAGGAUGCCCAGCCUCCAGUGGAACAGUGACUCAGAGGAACUGGUGAAGGACGAGCGGCUGCUUUCGGAGCUGGACGACAUGUCCUGGCUGAAGCGCAGGAAAAAGCGGGCUAUGCCUAGGAAUGUAUUUGAGGAGAUGAAGUAUUUGGAGAUUAUGAUCGUCAGUGACCAUAAUAUGUAUAAGCGACUCAAGACCAAGCAGCACACCAGGAACUCUGCCAAGUCAGUGGUGAACCUUGUUGAUGCUAUCUUUAAGGAGCACCUGCACACACGGGUGGUUCUGGUUGCCGUGGAGAUCUGGUCGGACAAGGACCCGAUUCCCAUCAGUGUGAAGCCUCUGGACAUGCUGAAAGAUUUCUCUAAGUACCGGGCGCAGAGCAUCAAGCAGCACACUGACGCUGUGCACCUCUUCUCCAAUGUGACCUUCCACUAUCGCCGAAGCAGUGUAGCGUACUUCGGGGGGAUGUGCUCUGUGAGCCGUGGAGUAGGGGUCAACGAGUAUGGCACCACAUGGACCAUGGCUUCGUCACUCUCCCAGAGCUUGGCACAGAACCUCGGCAUCCAGUGGGAUCCAGCUGCAAAGAGAAAGGAAUGCGGCUGCUCUGACUCCUGGGUGGGCUGCAUCAUGGAGGACACUGGGGUCCAGCAUCCCCGGAAGUUCUCCAAGUGCAGCAUCGCAGACUACAAGGAGUUCCUGCUGAAGGGCGGUGGAUCAUGUCUCUAUAACAGGCCGACCAAGCUGUUUGAAUCUACAGAGUGUGGGAAUGGAUACAUUGAGGUGGGAGAGGACUGUGACUGCGGAGAUAGAACAGAGUGCUACAAGGACUGCUGUAAGAAGUGUUCCCUAGCUAAUGGUGCACAUUGCGCUGACGGACCUUGCUGCAACAACACUUGUCUGUUCUACCCACGUGGUUACAGUUGUCGCUAUGCGGUGAAUGACUGUGACAUCUCAGAGACAUGCUCAGGAGACUCUGGCCAGUGCCCUCCCAACCUCCACAAACAAGAUGGCUACCAAUGUCAAGUCGACCAGGGACGCUGCUACAGCGGAGAGUGCAAGACCAGAGGAAACCAGUGCAAAUAUCUCUGGGGCCCAAAGGCGGGAGGGUCUGAGAAGUUCUGCUACGAGAAGCUAAACACAGAAGGAACCGAGAAGGGUAACUGUGGAAAGGAUGGAGAUAAGUGGCUCCAGUGCAGCAAGCAUGAUGUGUUCUGUGGGUUCCUGCUGUGCAGUAACAUCGGACACAACCCCCGCAUCGGCAUGAUGAAGGGAGACAUCACUCGUACCUCCUUCUACCAUCAGGGCAGGCCGGUGAACUGCAGUGGUGGCCAUGUUCUUUUGGACGAUGAGACUGACUUAGGCUACGUGGAGGACGGAGCGCCCUGUGGGCCGUCCAUGAUGUGCCUUGACCACAAGUGUCUGCCCAUCCAGUCCCUCAACAUGAGCACCUGCCCCAGCGGGCCCAACGGCCAGGUGUGCUCAUCCCACGGGGUGUGUAACAACGAGGCGACGUGCACCUGUGACACCACCUGGGCGGGGACUGACUGCAGCAUGCCCGACCCUCCCAAGGAGCCUGCACCCACAGAAGACGAAGAACCAAAAGGUCCUAGUGCCACCAAUCUUAUAAUAGGCUCCAUCGCCGGUGCCAUCCUGGUGGCUGCCAUAGUGCUGGGGGGGACCGGAUGGGGCUUUAAGGUUCGAGGGUGAGAGUUUAAGCGGAAGUGGUGAGAGAGAAGCCAGGGCCAUAUUGUUGGCCGCAGCCUUUGUGUCAUGGCUGGCCACACCCACCUGGAUGGCCAGGCUCCGCCCUAGAGCAGAGCAGGACUCCCGGACCCGCCCACAACAGCUGCCAUUGCUGCCUGCUUCACAGACCUGGUACACACACGGCGCAUUGUACUGCAUGACCCACCACGCACAUCAAUAGAGCCAUCUCCAACUGGCCUACUAUUGAAACAGAAAUGUGAAGAAGCGAAAGUACGACCCCAACGCCAGCGCCAUAUAAGGUUGGAGGAGAGGUCAGCGGGCACAGAGGGAACCUUCUGGGCUUCCUUAGUACUCUACAGCUGGACUGCACUUACUGCGGAGGAUUUUUUGGGCAUUAGAUUUACUUGAAAAAUACAUAGAGGACAAUUUAACAUUAUCCAUCUUAGUCAUGUAGAGAUGUAGCCUUUUUCAACCCUAACAACCCACCUAACAACCUCACCCACCUACCGAACAACCCACCUAACAACCUCACCCACCUACCUAACAACCCAACUAACAGCCUCACCCACCUACCGAACAACCCACCUAACAACCUCACCCACCUACCUAACAACCCAGCUAACAACCCCACCCACCUACCUAACAACCCACCUAACAACCC